This 1498-nucleotide ribosomal RNA is filed under the name Burkholderia aenigmatica. RNAcentral describes it as "23S ribosomal RNA (partial)". It matches the Rfam family "Bacterial large subunit ribosomal RNA", at positions 3 to 1552 of the family's 2925-position model. The record is from RNAcentral. Lineage: Bacteria; Pseudomonadati; Pseudomonadota; Betaproteobacteria; Burkholderiales; Burkholderiaceae.
UCAAGCGAACAAGUGCAUGUGGUGGAUGCCUUGGCGAUCACAGGCGAUGAAGGACGCGGUAGCCUGCGAAAAGCUACGGGGAGCUGGCAAACAAGCUUUGAUCCGUAGAUGUCCGAAUGGGGAAACCCACUCCUUUUGGAGUAUCCAUGGCUGAAUACAUAGGCCAUGUGAAGCGAACGCGGUGAACUGAAACAUCUAAGUAACCGCAGGAAAAGAAAUCAACCGAGAUUCCCAAAGUAGUGGCGAGCGAAAUGGGAUGAGCCUUGCACUCUUUAUUUGUAUUGUUAGCCGAACGCUCUGGAAAGUGCGGCCAUAGCGGGUGAUAGCCCCGUAGGCGAAAACAGUAUGAAAGAACUAGGUGUGCGACAAGUAGGGCGGGACACGUGAAAUCCUGUCUGAAGAUGGGGGGACCAUCCUCCAAGGCUAAAUACUCGUGAUCGACCGAUAGUGAACCAGUACCGUGAGGGAAAGGUGAAAAGAACCCCGGGAGGGGAGUGAAAUAGAUCCUGAAACCGCAUGCAUACAAACAGUCGGAGCCUCGAAAGGGGUGACGGCGUACCUUUUGUAUAAUGGGUCAGCGACUUACGUUCAGUAGCAAGCUUAACCGUAUAGGGCAGGCGUAGCGAAAGCGAGUCCGAAUAGGGCGUUCAGUUGCUGGGCGUAGACCCGAAACCAAGUGAUCUAUCCAUGGCCAGGAUGAAGGUGCGGUAACACGUACUGGAGGUCCGAACCCACUAACGUUGAAAAGUUAGGGGAUGAGCUGUGGAUAGGGGUGAAAGGCUAAACAAACUUGGAAAUAGCUGGUUCUCUCCGAAAACUAUUUAGGUAGUGCCUCGUGUCUCACCUUCGGGGGUAGAGCACUGUCAUGGUUGGGGGGUCUAUUGCAGAUUACCCCGCCAUAGCAAACUCCGAAUACCGAAGAGUGCAAUCACGGGAGACAGACAUCGGGUGCUAACGUCCGGUGUCAAGAGGGAAACAACCCAGACCGCCAGCUAAGGUCCCCAAAUAUAGCUAAGUGGGAAACGAAGUGGGAAGGCUAAAACAGUCAGGAGGUUGGCUUAGAAGCAGCCACCCUUUAAAGAAAGCGUAAUAGCUCACUGAUCGAGUCGUCCUGCGCGGAAGAUGUAACGGGGCUAAGCUAUAUACCGAAGCUGCGGAUGCGUGCUUUGCACGCAUGGUAGGAGAGCGUUCUGUAAGCCUGCGAAGGUGUCUCGGAAGGGAUGCUGGAGGUAUCAGAAGUGCGAAUGCUGACAUGAGUAGCGAUAAAGGGGGUGAAAGGCCCCCUCGCCGUAAGCCCAAGGUUUCCUACGCAACGUUCAUCGGCGUAGGGUGAGUCGGCCCCUAAGGCGAGGCAGAAAUGCGUAGCUGAUGGGAAGCAGGUCAAUAUUCCUGCACCAUUGUUAGAUGCGAUGGGGGGACGGAUCGCGGAAGGUUGUCCGGGUGUUGGAAGUCCCGGUCGCUGCAUUGGAGAAGGCACUUAGGCAAAUCCGGGUGCGUA